This 1407-nucleotide unclassified non-coding RNA is filed under the name Leguminivora glycinivorella. RNAcentral's name for it is "choline/ethanolamine kinase, transcript variant X5". Lineage: Eukaryota; Metazoa; Arthropoda; Insecta; Lepidoptera; Tortricidae. The record is from RNAcentral.
UCAGCCAAUUGAUUUCGAUUUUCCAUUACUGAAUUUAACUAGUUUUAAUGUCUUUUUCAAUUAGAAACCUAUCAAGAAUAGCGCAGCAGUGUUACAAAACCUACAAAGAUAUGACUAAAACAAGCACUCGGAAACUGCAGAUGUGCGGUACGGAGGAGGAAAUGCGCGAGGUGGCAGGCAGGAUUUGCAGGAAUUACCUCCACGGAGCCUGGAAGACUGUGGACCCUUCGGAGCUGGACUUCAAGAGGAUCAGCGGCGGCCUGUCAAACUUCCUGUACUACGUGGCGCUACCAGACGACCUGUCGAAAGCCAAGCUGCGUGAGUCGGUGUCAGUCGAGGACCCCGGCCUUGUGGGGGGUAUGAUGAGCAAGUCGUUUUCGAGCGAGGAACCUAAAAAGGUUCUGCUGCGGAUAUACGGACAAGUCCACGGUCCCCGGGCCAUGGACGCCAUAGUGACUGAAUCUGUCAUUUUCACACUGCUAUCGGAGCGGCGGCUCGGGCCGAAACUGUACGGGGUGUUCUCUGGAGGCAGGAUUGAGGAGUAUAUUCCUGCCCGACCCCUUCUUACAAAAGAGCUAUCUGAGCCGGCUCUCUCCAUGAAAAUAGCUGAAAAAAUGGCCGCCAUACAUUCCAUGGACAUCCCUCUGUCGAAGGAACCCAACUGGCUUUGGAAGACCAUGGGGAAAUGGAUCAAGACUGCUAAAGAAGAGAGACUCACGGGGACUGGCAAGAACGAAGAAGAAAACAACAUAAUCAAGCGACUCAAAGCGGUGGAUUUCGAGAAAGAAGUAGAGUGGCUCAAGAAAUUUCUGGCGACCGUCGAUUCUCCCGUAGUGUUCUGUCACAACGAUUUGCAGGAAGGUAAUAUCUUAAUGCUAGAAGACGUACACACAGACGAAGAACCAACAUAUAGACUCCACUCAUAUCAAGAGGACAGCCCCAGAAAAUCCUUCGACCCACUCUCUCAAUACGAAGACGCGAACACAAUCGACUCAGAGUCGAGCCAUCUCUCCGACUCAGGCGAGCCGAAGCUAGUACUCAUAGACUUUGAGUAUUGCGCCUACAACCAUAGGGGUUUCGAUGUCGCCAACCAUUUCCAAGAGUGGGGAUACGAUUAUACGAAUCCUGAGCAUCCGUAUUAUUAUGAGAAUCAAGAGAAUUGUCCCAAUUUGGAGCAAAAGACCCUGCUCUAUGGUGUGCCAUAGACAACUCGGCUGAGGACCACGACGUUACGGUAUUUCAAAAUGGCGCCGCCACCGAGCGAAAAAAAGAAAUAUUCAUCCGCGAAUAUCUAAAGCACUACAAUUACUACGUGAAUGACUCGAAGGAUUCAACGCCAUCUAUCGACGACGUCAACCAUCUACUCAACGAAGUCGACGCGUUUACAAUCGCGACGCACCUCUUGUG